AUGUCGACCAGCAAGAGGAAGACGGCGUCGCCUCUGACGGAUCUCCCCGACCACCUCCUGACCGAGAUCCUCCUCCGGCUGCCCGCUCCGGCCGACCUCGCCCGCUUCUCCGCCCCCUGCGUCUCCUUCCGCCGACUCGCCACCGAGCGAUCCCUCCUCCGCCGCUUCCGCUGCCUCCACGAACCACCACUCCUCGGCUUCCUCGAGCGCGACGGGUUCCAUCCUGCCCUGCCGCCUCACCCUUCUGCACCCGCCGCCCGCGCGCUUGCCCUCGCCGCCGACUUUUCCUUCUCCUUCCUCCCCUCCCACUGCCGCUGGACUGUCCGGGACUGCCGCGACGGCCGCGUCCUCCUCAAUUCGGGGCUCACAGCCCUCUGUCUUCCAGGAGCUCGCCGUAUGCGACCCCUUGCACCGUCGGUACAUCUUGCUUCCCCCGGUACCUGA
RNAcentral lists this ribosomal RNA (444 nucleotides) under Triticum aestivum (bread wheat). RNAcentral describes it as "partial small subunit ribosomal RNA". The record is from RNAcentral. Lineage: Eukaryota; Viridiplantae; Streptophyta; Magnoliopsida; Poales; Poaceae.